RNAcentral lists this ribosomal RNA (446 nucleotides) under uncultured organism. Its description in RNAcentral is "partial 16S ribosomal RNA". It matches the Rfam family "Bacterial small subunit ribosomal RNA", at positions 335 to 797 of the family's 1533-position model. The record is from RNAcentral.
ACUCCUGCGGGAGGCAGCAGUGGGGAAUAUUGGACAAUGGGCGCAAGCCUGAUCCAGCCAUGCCGCGUGAGUGAUGAAGGCCCUAGGGUUGUAAAGCUCUUUCACCGGAGAAGAUAAUGACGGUAUCCGGAGAAGAAGCCCCGGCUAACUUCGUGCCAGCAGCCGCGGUAAUACGAAGGGGGCUAGCGUUGUUCGGAAUUACUGGGCGUAAAGCGCACGUAGGCGGAUCGAUCAGUCAGGGGUGAAAUCCCAGGGCUCAACCCUGGAACUGCCUUUGAUACUGUCGAUCUGGAGUAUGGAAGAGGUGAGUGGAAUUCCGAGUGUAGAGGUGAAAUUCGUAGAUAUUCGGAGGAACACCAGUGGCGAAGGCGGCUCACUGGUCCAUUACUGACGCUGAGGUGCGAAAGCGUGGGGAGCAAACAGGAUUAGAAACCCGGGUAGUCCCA